CCACUUGAACCAGAUUGCAAAAUAAAUUGAAGAAUGAAAAAUUUCCUAUUUAAUUUAAACGAGUACCAAGAUAGCAUAACAAGCGAGUCAAAAUUUAAACAAAUAAAGUCUUGCACCAAAUCACUUCAUCAAAUCAUUUAUAGAAGAAAAAACACAUUAAAAUCAAGUCAUAAUUAAAAGAAGGGAGCAAGAGAGUGGACCUUUAAUUGUAUUUGAUGUUGAGAGUUUGCAACUUAACAGAACAGAGACCGACCAAAAAUGAGCAGCAAAUGAACUCAACCAACAGAAACCAUCGACCAGAGAACUUCCACGUCGACCUUGACGGGCACAAACAUUGUGAGGAUGAUUCACUGGGUUUUCAUGGAUUUUUGGACUGGUUUUCGAAGCUGUUGUCCUGAAGUUUUGGAACUGGAUUUUUGUGUGAACUCCAACUCGUUUCAUGGCUGUUUGGUGGCAGAAUUUCAGCUGGGUUUGGACCAGUUUUUCAGGUCGUUUUUUGAAGCUAUUUUGCGGAGUGUUUUCAGCUCUUUUUUGAGCUAUUUUGAGCAGAUUUAGUUGCUGUUUUGGGUCAGUUUCAGGGUGUAUUAGAGCUGGAUUUUAGGGCUGUUCGCAGCUGAUCUUUUGCUGCAUUUUAAGAGGUGCUUUGGGGCUGUUUCAGAGUCAUUUUUGGACUGAGAAAAGGUCUGGUUUGGAGGCUUAUUUUCAUUUCGUUUUUGGGCUGUUGUUUGAAGCUUUGGGGAUUGGUUUUCAUGGCGAAACAAGCUGGGUUUUGAGGUAUUUUCAGGUGGUUUUAAUGGCUGAAUAGGCGUGCUUCAUGGCUUCUUAGGAGUGAAGAAGAUGAAGCUCAAAGGGAAUAGCUCUGUUGAAGAAACAGCAGCGGCCGGAGAUUUUCGACUAUGGUGUUGUUGCGGAGAGUGGAUGGACAAGUUUGGAGGCUUAUUUUCAUUUCGUUUCUGGGCUGUUGUUUGAAGCUUUGGGGAUUGGUUUUCAUGGCGAAACAAGCUGGGUUUUGAGGUAUUUUCAGGUGGUUUUAAUGGCUGAAUAGGCGUGCUUCAUGGCUUCUUAGGAGUGAAGAAGAUGAAGCUCAAAGGGAAUAGCUCUGUUGAAGAAACAACAGCGGCUGGAGAUUUUCGACUAUGGUGUUGCUGCUGAGAGUGGAUGGAGAUGUCUAGGUUCUCUCCAGAAGAAGACUAGGUUAGCUUGUUCACUUUGGGCUUUUUUUGAUUCAUA
Molecule: long non-coding RNA, 1230 nt
Filed under: Nicotiana benthamiana
Lineage: Eukaryota; Viridiplantae; Streptophyta; Magnoliopsida; Solanales; Solanaceae
Description: long non-coding RNA (NBEN_LNC004313)
Source: RNAcentral